This is a long non-coding RNA of Peromyscus eremicus (cactus mouse), 439 nucleotides long. RefSeq lists it as uncharacterized. The record is from RefSeq and is a predicted model, not a curated record. NCBI's taxonomy places the organism in Eukaryota, Metazoa, Chordata, Mammalia, Rodentia, Cricetidae. The transcript is spliced from 3 exons.
CUUCCGGCGCCACUAUGGCAUCACCAUGGCAACCCGAGGGCCAAGUCAAGUUUUUCUGACUCUUAGAACUACUCAAGAGCUCCUUCCCCGCCUGUAGGAGCUUGCAUCACCAUGACAACUCAAAGGUCUCUCAGUUCUCUUUACUGACCCUUGAAGGGUCCUUAGGGGUCACGGCCCCAGGCUCCUCCGGCUCCUAGCUCAUCCUUCACCAUGGCAACUGGAUGCUGUGUAUCAUGGUUCUUGAAGACUCUGGAACCAGCAGCUUCCGGAGGAGCAUUUUCCUGUCCAGGCUAAAGUAACGAAGAGGAGGCAGGAACAUCCCGGGGCCGGGCAAGAUGGGAGCCAUUGGAAUGCGAGCUGUGAGCAGUCAGGAACGGCAAGAUAGACGGAAGGAAGUGACUGAGCGCAGGACGCAGCUUUGUUAUGGUGGUGGACAGUA